RNAcentral lists this ribosomal RNA (497 nucleotides) under uncultured bacterium. RNAcentral describes it as "partial 16S ribosomal RNA". It matches the Rfam family "Bacterial small subunit ribosomal RNA", at positions 28 to 507 of the family's 1533-position model. The record is from RNAcentral.
GAUGAACGCUGGCGGCGUGCCUAAUGCAUGCAAGUCGAGCGAACAGACGAUGAGCUUGCUCCUCUCACGUUUGGGGCGGACGUGUGUGUAACAUGUGUAUACCCCACCUGUCAGACUGAUAAAACUACGAGACUCCGGCUCUUAUAGGGGAGAAGCUCUUGAUCCGCAUUGGGGAAUAGUGAAAUACGGUUUUUCGGUCAGGUAUAGAUGGAUCCGCGCCGCAUGAGCUAGUUGGUAAGUUAACGGCUUACGAAGGCAACGAUGCGUAGCCGACCUGAGGGAGUGAUCGGCGACACUGGAAGUGAGACACGGUCCAGACGACUACGGGAGGCCGCAGUAGGGAAUGGUACGCAGUGGGCGAAAGCAUGACGGAGCAACGCCGAGUCAGUGAUGAAGGUCUUGGGAUCGUAAAACUCUGUUACUAGGGAAGAACAACUGUGUCAGUAACCAUGCACGUCUUGACGGUACUGGAUAAGAAAGCCCCGGCUAACUACGUG